Molecule: transfer RNA, 437 nt
Filed under: Hevea brasiliensis (rubber tree)
Lineage: Eukaryota; Viridiplantae; Streptophyta; Magnoliopsida; Malpighiales; Euphorbiaceae
Rfam family: tRNA (bases 61-132)
Source: RNAcentral
GGGGAAUGUAGUAUUAAACUAUUAAAUAUAAAUUAAAAAAAAUUACUAACAUUAACAAAUGGGCAUUUGGUCUAGUGGCAUGAUUCUCGCUUUGGGUGCGAGAGGUCCCGAGUUCAAUUCUCGGAAUGCCCCAUUUUAUUUUUGAUAUGCAAAUAUUGAGAUAAAAUCUGGCUGGCUGUAUCUGUCCUGAGAAUUAUAAGUUCCAGCUCUUUCCUGUUCUGUUUCAAAUCAGGCCCUAAAGUCAACUGCAUAAAUACAAGUCUCUACUCCAAUGUCCCAACUUGUUUCUUGUCUGCCUGAACAAUUUUGGCAAGCUCAGCAUCAUACCUGUAUCUGUCUUCAUUCAUCAAGAAAAAUAAAUGCAAUUUACUUGAACCCUGCAAAAUAGUACAAAUAUUAAGAGCAAGUUCACAAACAAAAUGGCAAUAAAAGAAGCG